CCGACGCCAUUGGAGGGAUUUGGACCAAUUUGUUGGGCGGGGCUAUUCCCUGCAUGACCCCUCCCACCUGAAGUGACGUCACCCCAGAAAAUGAUCAAGCCAACUCAGGGCACUUCCGGUCCCCGUCCUUUAUAGCCCGCCCUCUUUCCUCCGUCACUUCCGACCCGGCUGCCAUCUUGCCUGGGAAGGACCAGCUGCUGCAAUGUCCGUGUUCCCGGCGCUCCGCGCACUGCUCCGGCCCCGCCUCGCGCCGCCCGCUCGCGCCCUGCACUCGUACCCGCCGGAGAGUCGCGUGGGGCCGCUGGUGAGGGGGGUCUGGGGCCGCCCUUCCCAGGGGCUCGGGCCUGGCCCCGCUCUGCGGCCUGGAGAGCCCGGCCGAGCCCCAGCCCUGGGGGGAGAAGCGGAGGGUGCCGGGGGGCGCGGGCAGGGCCCAGCUGCUGUGUCCUUUCACCUGAGCUCUGCUGCCUUCUCCCCUCCGCAGGAGACUGUCCUCAGCCUGGGAGCCUUCUUCCUGGCCUUCCUGGGCCCGUCGGGCUGGAUCCUGACCCGCAUGGAGAGCUACAAGAAGCGCGACUGAGCGAGCGGGCUCUGAUCCGCGCUGGCUGCCCGCCCUCGGCCCCCGCAUUCCGCACCCGGCCCCCGGGGCUGCUAACUUGUUCCAUGGCCCCAUGUGGAGCAGCGGGGUUGCUGCCAUGCCAGUGGCAGUGAUUGGGUAUUGGCCACCAGUCACAGGUCUUGGAAGCUGCAGAGAGAAAUGACCCAGAGAGAUGCCACAUCCCACUACAGCUUCCCACUUUCCAGGAUCACGCCGCUGAAGGCCAUGGCUAGUACUGGCAGCUGGUGGGAAGAUCACAGCACCCUGGUCAGAGCUGGUGAGCCCAGGGACAGGCCAGCAUGUCUCAGGAAGCAAUUGAGGAGCCAGAAGGAGAAGCAGAGCAUUGCUGAGCGGCUGAGCCUUGGCUUCACCUUGGUGCCCAGGAAGUCUCCCCUGGGCUAUUACCUGGGCAGGCUUGUGCCCUCCAAGACCUGCUCCUUCCGCCAAAGCCUGCCUGUGGAGGCCAGCCUGGGUGUUGCCUGUCAGCCUGUGCUGUGCUCUCCCAACACCAUCGCCUCCCACAGAGCUUCUGCAGGGGCCUGGCUGGCUAGCGCUGCCCUGAAAACAGGCCGUGCCAUGGACCACACCCAGCUUAGGGGCAGCAGGAUCCUCCUGUCCCCAACCAAGCCAGCUCUCAGAGUGAGACCCAUCUCCUUGCCUAUAGCAGGGCCAUUUGAGCCAACCCGUCCUGCUGCCUGGGAGCCCAAACCCACCAGCAGGCACAAGCUUGCUGUGGUCAAACCAGCUGUCAAUGCCAGGAGGGCCCGGCUGGCACAAUGGCAAGCUGCCAAGGGCAAGGUGCUGAAGAGACCCCCAAGUGUAAUGAUUCCUGAUCUGCCCAAGAGAUGCUUGUCCAAGAAGCCCCCUGUCCUGUCCUCCUGGACCACCAUAACAGAUGAAGAGGAGACAAGAUCAGAGCUGGACCAAGCCAGUCUGGCAGUUCCGGAGCAGCCCAGCCAAGCUGGCAGGGGUGCCCACAGGGAGGAGGCAGUAGCUCCAUGGGACCCAGCGACUCAGGGGGCCCAGGACUCAAUGGAGUACUGGGUCCAUCUGCAACUGCCUGCAGGGGCUUCUGGGAACACCUGCCUGGCUGGCAAGAAGCCUCAGCAUCUAGCAGAUGAGCAGUAUGGAUCGGUGAGGGCUGUGGACAAUGGCAAGAGACUCCUGUAUGCAUCCACGCUGCAGAUCAGUGUGUGGAAAAGAGUACCCAAGCUGUCUCACUCUGACCCACACCCGUCUUCUCUGGCUGCAGAGUGAACCCAUUUUGUUACUGGCCUAUAUCCCUUGCUCAAUCUGUCCUGGUUGAUCUGAGAAGAGUUUGGGAAGGAGAUAAGAGAUCUCCAUUCUGUCUGCAUUUGGAAGCUCCCAGAACUGUCUCUUUAGCCUUCCAGUCAUGUACAGCCCCCUCAAAGCACUGCAUGGCAUGAAGUAUUUCCUGUACUAGCUGUCAAGGACCCUUGUAGAGAAUCCAAAGCUUUGGAACCCUAAAGAGAUGUUUCAUGUUGGGGGGUGGGGGGGAGAAUGAACUGGGGCAAGCCGUAACCCCCAAAAGGGCUGCAGAUCUAAAUGUCUUGUCUUUCAUGGCUGGAUCAGCACUCCUGCAUUGCUCCCUUCUACCUUUUUAUAUCGAUGGUCUGUCACCAAGCUGUUC
RNAcentral lists this long non-coding RNA (2246 nucleotides) under Gopherus agassizii (Agassiz's desert tortoise). RNAcentral's name for it is "lncRNA (ENSGAGG00000011945.1)". Lineage: Eukaryota; Metazoa; Chordata; Testudines; Testudinidae. The record is from RNAcentral.